This 499-nucleotide ribosomal RNA is filed under the name uncultured bacterium. RNAcentral's name for it is "partial 16S ribosomal RNA". It matches the Rfam family "Bacterial small subunit ribosomal RNA", at positions 28 to 507 of the family's 1533-position model. The record is from RNAcentral.
GACGAACGCUGGCGGCGUGCCUAAUACAUGCAAGUCGAGCGGACCGAACAGGAGCUUGCUCUUGUUCGGUUAGCGGCGGACGGGUGAGUAACACGUGGGUAACCUGCCCGUAAGACCGGGAUAACUCCGGGAAACCGGAGCUAAUACCGGAUAACACCGAAGACCGCAUGGUCUUUGGUUGAAAGGCGGCUUCGGCUGCCACUUACGGAUGGGCCCGCGGCGCAUUAGCUAGUUGGUGAGGUAACGGCUCACCAAGGCGACGAUACGUAGCCGGCCUGAGAGAGUGACCUGCCACACUGGGACUGAGACACGGCCCAGACUCCUACGGGAGGCAGCAGAGGGGAAUCUUCCGCAAUGGACGAAAGUCUGACGGAGCGACGCCGCGUGAGCGAAGAAGGUCUUCGGAUCGUAAAGCUCUGUUGUUAGGGAAGAAGAAGCGUCGGUCGAACAGGGCGGCGCGGUGACGGUACCUAACGAGAAAGCCCCGGCUAACUACGUG